Non-coding RNA from Camellia sinensis, 2435 nucleotides. NCBI's taxonomy places the organism in Eukaryota, Viridiplantae, Streptophyta, Magnoliopsida, Ericales, Theaceae. The record is from RefSeq and is a predicted model, not a curated record.
UUCCCCUAUGUGACUCAUCGCUCUAUCUUUCUCUACCGUCAGCUCACUCUCGCGCUCGGCUAUGGAUCUCUCUCUCUCUCUCUCUCUCUCGAUCUCAGCUUUUGUUUAAUAUUGGAAGGGCAUUAAUUUAUUCUCCAAUUGAUUUUCUCCGUCUCGUCUCUGGUGAUUCAGUUCAUUCUUUCUGAGAAGGGGUCAGGGUUUUCUUGCUGCUAGUAGGGAUUUGGUUUCAGAAAGGAGGGCUAGUUAUGGAGAUGGGAAGACAAUGGUCAUUUAACUUGGCAAAUGCUUUGGAAUCUCACACAAAGGACAAGCACAGUGCUGGAAAAUAAAUGGAUUUAAAGAGAGAGCUUCUUAUGAAUCCUGAUUGGAAAAUCUACGCUUAGUCUAUUAGGUGUCUUCACAAUGGGGGUUUGUAAUCAGUCUAAAUUAAUCAAAGCAUGAUUAAGUGUACAGGGUAUCUUGAUACCCUUGAAAACGGCAUCUGAAGAAUGCUGAAUUUCUUAAUGCUACUGCUUGGUUCAUGUAUGGUCCAGCUGUGUUCUCAAAGGUUUUGAAACCUCCACCAUGGCUCUUGUUGCCUGAUAUCACCGUCUUGUUCAUGCCAUCCCCAACAAAUGUUAUAUUUGUUUUUUGUUCUCCAACGAAAAUGUUCUCUCUAUAGAAGCCUUCUUUGAUUUUUAUGUAGUAUCUACGUUUACUGUAGUUAGGGGCUGCAAGAAUGGCAUCUGCGAUUCUUGUGAAAUUCCCUGAUCCAUCUUGUGCAACUGUAGUGUCAAUGGGCAUGGACUUCCCUAGUGAACUCCACCAGAGAGUGAUCAACACAGUGAGUGCCAACAUUGUUUUUCUCUUUAGUAAAAGGGUUUUAUGUGUUUGUUUCAGAGAAGUUUAUCAAAAGUGUUUCUAUGGUGUGAAAGGCUCGUGUAACAUAAAGGAGUGAAUAGCUUGUAAAGAAUGAGUAGUAUUUAUAAGCAAAACUUGCUGUUGAGUUCCUAACAAGGAGUAUUUUUCUAGGUCCAACUGAGAUUGAGUUGCACACGUUAAGGGUAACAUUCUUGUCUCAUUUGAUCUAACUCAUUACUACAAUAUAACUAGUAGAGAACUCUAAUAAAUAGAACAGUUGGCAGCUUUGUAUCAAUAUAGUUAUUAGGAAACUCUAGUGGUUUGGUUACUUGGCAAUUUUUGUCUAGCUAGCUGAAACAAACUCUUAGAUUGGGAUGUGUCACAUUAUCAUAAUUAUUGUAUUUUUUUUGUGUUGAGAAAAUAGUAUACAAACAUAAUUUUUAUACAAAAAAAAAGUACAUAUACAUAAUGGGGAAAUAUAAAAUAAAAAAAAAGGGAAAUAUCAAAAUAAUUGCAAAUUCAUAAAAGUAGAACAUUAUUUGCACAAUUCAAUGCACAAAUCACUUUUACUUUCAUGAGUUUGCAAUUAUUUUUUCAACUUCCCACUUUUUUGACAUUCCCGGUAGUAGUACUUUUGAAAUUAUGAGCAGAAAGGUGGGUCGUUUUGAUUUAAAAUGAAAGCACCACAAAAGGCCAUAUCUUUUUUUGUGUUAAAAUUUUACACAAAAAUUAUGCUUGUAUGACAUUAUUCUAAUUUUAUAGUAGUCGCAAAUCCCCUGACUCCAUUCAAUUCGAGAUGAUGUGCUCCAUUGAGCUAUGAUGUGAUGAUUUUGGCAUCACUUAAUCUUCUCUACAAACAUGAUCUGACGUGUUGUUAUUUCUUCACUCUUUAUUUCUUUCUUUUGUUUUUUUAAACAUUUUCUUGUUAAUUUUUAUUUUUGGGAGGGGGUUUGCACUCUGAGUCUUAUUCUUUAUUUCUUUCUCUUCUUGAUUUUUAUUGCUCACUUAGUAGGCUUUGUUCCAAAUUAGGCUUAAUUUCCCUUGACAAUUUGCUGGGCAAUGUCACUCCUAGCUGAACUUGUGGGCUGCCAUUAUCCAAAACUGAACUUGUGGCCAAAUGCAUAGCCCGUAUACUUCGGGCCACCUAUUUUUUAGGAAAAUGGCAAAGGGUGUCCAUCACAACUCAUCAAUAGUCUAAUAGGAACCAACACUAUUGAAGAGUGUUUGUAUAAUAAAUAAUCGAUUCUGGGAAAGAAUGGCAAGAUAGUCAUGAGCUAUUGGUUGUUUAGAAGAAUUUGACAAAUUGAUUGAACAAUGGCUUUAAAAGAGAGUAAGAGAGUUCUAUCCAAAUGCAAGAAACAUCAAAAGCUGAAGCCAUUCACUUUGAUUUGAUAUAUUAAUUUUGAUCUCUUCUAAGAAGAAAAAUACAACUUUGACACUAUGAUUUGGAGCCAUUUCUAUUGUUAUGGGGUUUAAAUAGUCAAUUCACAAGUUUGUGUAAUACAAGCAAUGCCCAUUUCCACCUUGUUAAUAUUCUUGGAAAUAUUUAUUGUUUUUGUUCCAUGUUAACUUUUCCUAGUUUUGGAUGAGUGUAU